RNAcentral lists this ribosomal RNA (255 nucleotides) under Meloidogyne javanica (root-knot nematode). RNAcentral describes it as "partial 28S ribosomal RNA". It matches the Rfam family "Eukaryotic large subunit ribosomal RNA", at positions 668 to 907 of the family's 3401-position model. Lineage: Eukaryota; Metazoa; Nematoda; Chromadorea; Rhabditida; Meloidogynidae. The record is from RNAcentral. RNAcentral also lists the same sequence under 2 other names.
AAGGAGUUUAUCGUGUGCGCAAGUUUUUGGGUGUUAAAAACUUAAAAGCGAAAUGAAAGUAAAUGACUCUUUAGAGUCUGAUGUGCGAUCUUGUAAAAAAGUGUAGCAUGGCCCCAUUCUAACUGUUUACAGUAGGGUGGCGGAAGAGCGUACGCGGUGAGACCCGAAAGAUGGUGAACUAUUCCUGAGCAGGACGAAGCCAGAGGAAACUCUGGUGGAAGUCCGAAGCGGUUCUGACGUGCAAAUCGAUCGUCU